GUCUUUGUCGUCUAAAGGUUAGGACAGCUGACUUUCUAUCAGCGAAUGGCGGUUCGAUUCCGCUCAAGGACUCCA
RNAcentral lists this transfer RNA (75 nucleotides) under Undibacterium sp. YM2. Its description in RNAcentral is "tRNA-Glu". It matches the Rfam family "tRNA". From Rfam's summary of the family: Transfer RNA (tRNA) molecules are approximately 80 nucleotides in length. Their secondary structure includes four short double-helical elements and three loops (D, anti-codon, and T loops). The record is from RNAcentral. Lineage: Bacteria; Pseudomonadati; Pseudomonadota; Betaproteobacteria; Burkholderiales; Oxalobacteraceae. RNAcentral also lists the same sequence under 1 other name.